Molecule: ribosomal RNA, 433 nt
Filed under: uncultured bacterium
Lineage: Bacteria
Description: partial 16S ribosomal RNA
Rfam family: Bacterial small subunit ribosomal RNA
Source: RNAcentral
AACGAACGCUGGCGGCAUGCCUAACACAUGCCAGUCGAACAAGACCUUCGGGUCUAGUGGCGCACGGGUGCGUAACGCGUGGGAACCUGCCCUUAGGUUCGGAAUAACUCCCCGAAAGGGGUGCUAAUACCGGAUAAUGUCUUCGGACCAAAGAUUUAUCGCCUUUGGAUGGGCCCGCGUUGGAUUAGCUAGUUGGUAGGGUAAAAGCCUACCAAGGCGACGAUCCAUAGCUGGUCUGAGAGGAUGAUCAGCCACACUGGGACUGAGACACGGCCCAGACUCCUACGGGAGGCAGCAGUGGGGAAUAUUGGACAAUGGGCGAAAGCCUGAUCCAGCAAUGCCGCGUGAGUGAUGAAGGCCUUAGGGUUGUAAAGCUCUUUUACCCGGGAUGAUAAUGACAGUACCGGGAGAAUAAGCGCCGGCUAACUCCGUG